AGUGAACGCUGGCGGUAGGCCUAACACAUGCAAGUCGAACGGCAGCACAGUAAGAGCUUGCUCUUACGGGUGGCGAGUGGCGGACGGGUGAGGAAUACAUCGGAAUCUACUUUUUCGGGGGGGAUAACGUAGGGAAACUUACGCUAAUACCGCACACGACCUACGGGUGAAAGCAGGGGAUCCUCGGACCUUGCGCGAUUGAAUGAGCCGACGUCGGAUUAGCUAGUUGGCGGGGUAAAGGCCGACCAAGGCGAAGAUCCGUAGAUAGUCUGAGAGGCAGACCAGCCACACUGGAACUGAGACACGGUCCAGACUCCUACGGGAGGCCGCAGUGGGGAAUAUUGGACAAUGGGCGAAAGCCUGCUCCAGCAAUGCCGCGUGGGUGAAGAAGGCCUUCGGGUUGUAAAGCCCUUUUGUUGGGAAAGAAAAGCGGCGGGUUAAUACCCCGUGGUUGUGACGGUACCGAAAGAAUAAGCACCGGCUAACUACGUG
RNAcentral lists this ribosomal RNA (492 nucleotides) under uncultured bacterium. RNAcentral describes it as "partial 16S ribosomal RNA". It matches the Rfam family "Bacterial small subunit ribosomal RNA", at positions 29 to 507 of the family's 1533-position model. The record is from RNAcentral.